AAACGCAACCGUAGUUGCAGCGGAGGAGCUUGAAAAGCAUUUAGAAAUCCAGUGGAUAUUGUUGGAAUCGACUUUAUUUUACAUAAUUACAUCCCAGGGACAUUUAGUUUUGGAUUGCGUAUGAAUAUUUUAUAAGUGGACGUAGGGAGAUUCUCAGUACAUCCUCAGUAUAUCUUAUGGAUUUUUAUGGACAUUAGGAUGUUUGAAAAGUCCUUGAGAUACAUCCGAUGGACGUACUUCGGCUCAACUUUUGCUGUGUGGAUGGGUUAUGUUUGAUGUGGAAUCGCAGAGAUCGUGCACGCGUAAUUUAAAUCUUACAUAUAAGCGGAUAAACAAUACUAAGAUUGAAAUUGGAUUAAAGAAAAUAAAUUUAAAACAAUGUUCCAUCUGAUGUGUAAAUUUAAAGCAAUGUUUCAACCACUUUUGCUUUGGCAAACUAACCCUUUUUUUCCCUUGAGUCUGUCUGAUGUUAUGAUAAGACAUUUUAACAGAAAGAAUUUUCGUCUAGCCAUACUUUAGAAAACCGAUACGCAUACGCAUAAUGCAGCGUCUAAAGUCAUUUACUUGGAUGAUUGUUUUGAUCUAUUUACAUUGCAUUUAUCAUUUAUAAACAAAUAAAAAUAUUCAAUAUUUUUAUCGCUAAAGUAAAAGUUAAAAUUAAUUUUUUAAUUUUUGUUCAAAUUGAUACGAAAUUAAGAACAUUUUAAUGUAAUACUUUUUAUUGACUAAAGAUGUAAGUAUGGAGCUUCCUUAACCUUUCGUUUACACUCUGGGUGAGCCACCCAUACGGUUACUUUGACGCUCUGUACCUUUUCCAAUUUUUAGAAUAUCGGACUAGUGGGUCUAUUUAGUACUAGAUUGAGGAAUUAACUAUAGUUUAGGAUUAUUGCGUGGCAAAUGUCAGUGUUGUCUGAGCUGUCGUCAGAGGUAGUUAAGAUAACACUCACGCUUGCCAUUAUGUAAUAGUCCUGAACUAUUCCAAUUUUAUUUAUAAAUAUUUCUUACAUUUCUUGCCAAAAAAUAAAAUUUUUAUAUAAAAAUUUCUGUUUGUUUAUUUAUCGAAACAGUCUACCUUCCGUAUGCAAAAUAAAUAUCUUUUUUAGAGCCCACUAAAAAAAUAUUUUUUCUUUAAAAAUAUUAUAUCUAAACAACAACUCUGUAAAUUUAGCUUCUAAUAUUGAAAUCUGUAAAAGUUACAAUUCUUUUAAGAUUUUCUUUAUUUUUUCUCGACAUAUAAAUGAGAAUUUGGUUACAAAAAUUAUAAUAAGAUUUCAUUAAAAAAACUAUUGCAAUACAUUCUAGAAAUCUUGAAAUUGAUCUAUGAUUUUUCUUAUGACGAUUGAAUGUUUUAUAUAAAAAUGGCAGUUGUUAAAAAUUGUUCUAGGUGAGUCACCCAGUAUGUCAAAGUUGAUCGAAAAAAAA
Molecule: long non-coding RNA, 1422 nt
Organism: Monomorium pharaonis (pharaoh ant)
Lineage: Eukaryota; Metazoa; Arthropoda; Insecta; Hymenoptera; Formicidae
Exons: 2
Source: RefSeq, a predicted model, not a curated record